ACUCUUCCAGUACAAAAACUCCAUCAUCUUCUUCUUCAUCACUGCUUCUCUACCUCUCCACCUUCGAUCGGUUUGACCGGUCUGGUUUAAUUAUACUACAAAAUUUUGAAAAUUUCAGAAAGAAAACCGCACAAUUUGCCCAUCUCUAAAGAAACCCAACAAAUUUUCCAUUAAAUUAAAAAUCAAUUGCUUUUUUAUUUCUAAAAGACAAUAUUUUCAUACCAUUUUACCCUUUGCUAAUCAUUGUUUUUACAAAAUCGACCUGUAAGAAAUUUUAACCGACAAAACCUAAACCACAAAUCCACCUUCUCUCCCGCUGAUCUGCAACUCUCUUUUGCCGCUUCUCCCGUCUCUCCGGCCGAUGUGCUGAAAGCCUUCGCUACACUUGGAACAUCGAACCUCUCAAGUAAUUUAGAGGGAAUAACAUGCUCAUAGAGUAUUAAGAAACGGUCCCUGUUAUUUGUAGCGUCAUUCACUGCUCUAAUUGAGUGAGGACUUCACGACUGCAUCGUGUCAACCUAUUCCCUAGCCAUGAGCCUGUAAAGAUUUACAAAAACCUUGUAAGAACCAGUGAAGAGGCUUAAAUAAGUGUAAGGGAAUGUCUCUAGUCUUUUAAAUGACUUCUGAUUAUCUGUUGGACAAUAUGUUUAUUUCUUUCACUUUCUGAUGCUGCAUAUCACUGUUUGGGC
Prunus avium (sweet cherry) is the source of this 689-nucleotide non-coding RNA. The record is from RefSeq and is a predicted model, not a curated record. Lineage: Eukaryota; Viridiplantae; Streptophyta; Magnoliopsida; Rosales; Rosaceae.